GAUGAACGCUGGCGGCGUGCCUAAUACAUGCAAGUCGAGCGCACGGACGAGAAGCUUGCUUCUCUGAUGUUAGCGGCGGACGGGUGAGUAACACGUGGAUAACCUACCUAUAAGACUGGGAUAACUUCGGGAAACCGGAGCUAAUACCGGAUAAUAUUUUGAACCGCAUGGUUCAACAGUGAAAGACGGUCUUGCUGUCACUUAUAGAUGGAUCCGCGCUGCAUUAGCUAGUUGGUAAGGUAACGGCUUACCAAGGCAACGAUGCAUAGCCGACCUGAGAGGGUGAUCGGCCACACUGGAACUGAGACACGGUCCAGACUCCUACGGGAGGCAGCAGUAGGGAAUCUUCCGCAAUGGGCGAAAGCCUGACGGAGCAACGCCGCGUGAGUGAUGAAGGUCUUCGGAUCGUAAAACUCUGUUAUUAGGGAAGAACAUAUGUGUAAGUAACUGUGCACAUCUUGACGGUACCUAAUCAGAAAGCCACGGCUAACUACGUG
RNAcentral lists this ribosomal RNA (497 nucleotides) under uncultured bacterium. RNAcentral's name for it is "partial 16S ribosomal RNA". It matches the Rfam family "Bacterial small subunit ribosomal RNA", at positions 28 to 507 of the family's 1533-position model. The record is from RNAcentral.